Long non-coding RNA from Papio anubis (olive baboon), 2026 nucleotides. Lineage: Eukaryota; Metazoa; Chordata; Mammalia; Primates; Cercopithecidae. The record is from Ensembl.
GUUCUGGGGCUCAUGUUGAGAGCAGGAUCUCUGAAGCCAGGCAGUCUUGAGUUUGAAUUUCUGCUAUGCCACUUAGAGGCUGAGUGACCUGGGACAAGCUACUGAACAUCUCUGGGCCUCAUUUCCCCUUUCUGAAAAAUGGGGACAGGACCCACUUCAUAAGAUUGUUGUAAGGGGUGGAUUAGAAAAUACAAAGAGCCUAGCAAAGUGCUUCUUAUUUAGUAAAUAUUCGAUAAAUGUUGAUGCAGCCAGAGUGAAAUGUAUUUUAUAAAGUUCAAUGAGCAUAAAUUUCAUUGCUUUGUUAAACAACUCAAUCUUUAUUUUAAGGCAAGAGUUAGAAAACAGCCAAUUUAGUGUUGUCCACUUUCCUGGGGAUAGGCUUUGUGCCAACAGGGUGCUAGGGGGACAAGGGUGGCCAUCAGUAAGCUCUGCUGGCAUCUGGUAAGUCAUUCUCAUUCUCAUCUGGCCUCUCGUCACCUGUUUGCACUGGUCCCUACUGUGACCUUCCUUCCUAAGCAAGGCCUCCUCUAUUCGUCAGCUCCCUGGGCUGCAGCUGGGCUGCUCAGAAGGUCUGAGAAGACUGCAUCUGCCUCUUGUCUCUUCGCUGUUGGAAACCCUCCCCAUAGAAGUAGAGGGAGCCAUUGUCUCUGGCCACCACACGAGACCCUGUGAGGCUGUGUGUACCCUCUGGUCAGAUCUCCCCCUCUUUCCUCUACUCUUCCGUUAUACUGGUGGUCUUGCUCCUUCUGUGGGAACAGAGACUCUGGCAUCUUCAGCUUUGAAAUUGCUUAAACAUAUCUGCUUGGAGGUGGGAUAGGUGAGUCAAGCUUCAAUGUCCUUCACUCUGACCCCAGGGUGUCUAAAUGCUCUUAAUUUCUUCAGAUUAUCCUCCACCACCAGGGCUAUUUAUCUAACCUCAGGGACAGUAAAUAGGUCUGUGGCUCAGAAGCUCCUUUCCAAGGAGUUUUUGAGGCCUGCAUUCCUGGCUCACCAAUACUUUUCACCCGUUUUGUUUUUACAUCUUUUUCUAGAGGGAAUGGAUGCCACAUGGUGCAGCUGCCUAAAAGCUAAGAAGGGGUCAUGGGGUAACAGGAAAUGCCAAAGAAAAACAAUAAUUGGAUUUGAGAGGUGUCCCUAAACACCAGCUGCUGUGUUCUGUGUAAAAGACACUCAACAGGCCAGGCACAGUGGCUCAUGCCUGUAAUCCCAGCACUUUGGGAGGCCAAGGCAGGCAGAUCACUGGAGACCAGGAGUUCGAGAUCAGCCUGGCCAACAUGGCGAAAUCCUGUCUCUAUUAAAAAUACAAAAAUUAGUCGGAUGUGGUGGCUUAUGCCUGUAGUUCCAGCUACUUGGGAGGCUGAGGCAUGAGAAUCACUUGAACCCGGGAGGCGGAGGUUGUAGUGAGCCAAGAUUGUGCCACUGCACUCCAGCCUGGGCUAGAGAGUAAGACUGUGUCUCAAAAUAAAAUAAAAUAAAAUAAAAUAAAAUAAAAUAAAUAAAAAAUAAAAAAUAAAAGGGCACUCAACAGAGUAGACAUAGGAAGUAAUCCUGGCCUGGCUUGGCCUAGCCUCUGGAGGCGGCUGUUUUUCCACCUGGUAAAUUGAUGAUUUUCAUUGCGUAUUUUCUCUGAGUGUUUGUUAACUCCACGGCAGUCUUUUGGAGUUAGUUUGUCAUUGACUUGAACCCAUCAGAAAAGAGUUGACCUCUCAUUCUGCAUCUGGCAUUUGGAGUGUGGCGCUAGGACUCAAUCAAAAAAGAGUGGAAAUAGCCAUUGGCCAUUGAGGAACGGCCAGGCCUUGGCAUGCCAGAGGUAAUGUCUUUUUUGGUUAUGCCCAGUAAGUACAACAAACUAAAAGAGAAAAAAUAAAUAAAUUUGGACAAAGUGAUCUCAAUUCAUGUGUUUUGAAGAAACCUGGAAUAACUUAGAGAAGAGAGAUGACAAAUAUAUGUUUCCGGAAAAUAUUAGCUGAAACUGCAACCACUGUUGUAAACAUUUGCCGUCCUCCUGCAGAGGAGGGAGCAUGCC